RNAcentral lists this ribosomal RNA (727 nucleotides) under uncultured bacterium. RNAcentral's name for it is "bacterial SSU rRNA". It matches the Rfam family "Bacterial small subunit ribosomal RNA", at positions 79 to 818 of the family's 1533-position model. The record is from RNAcentral.
CUUGCUCUGUCUGAUCAGUGGCGAACGGGUGAGUAACACGUGAGUAACCUGCCCCCGACUCUGGAAUAACCGUGGGAAACGACGGCUAAUACCGGAUAUGAGACGCACGGGCAUCUGUGUGUCUGGAAAGAUUUAUCGGUCAGGGAUGGACUCGCGGCCUAUCAGCUUGUUGGUGGGGUAAUGGCCCACCAAGGCGACGACGGGUAGCCCGGCCUGAAAGGGCGACCGGCCACACUGGGACUGAGAUACGGCCCAGACUCCUACGGGAGGCAGCAGUGGGGAAUAUUGCACAAUGGGCGCAAGCCUGAUGCAGCGACGCCGCGUGAGGGAUGAAGGCCUUCGGGUUGUAAACCUCUUUCAGCAGGGAAGAAGCGAAAGUGACGGUACCUGCAGAAGAAGCGCCGGCUAACUACGUGCCAGCAGCCGCGGUAAUACGUAGGGCGCAAGCGUUGUCCGGAAUUAUUGGGCGUAAAGAGCUCGUAGGCGGUUUGUCGCGUCUGCUGUGAAAACCUGAGGCUCAACCUCGGGCUUGCAGUGGGUACGGGCAGACUAGAGUGCGGUAGGGGUGACUGGAAUUCCUGGUGUAGCGGUGGAAUGCGCAGAUAUCAGGAGGAACACCGAUGGCGAANGCAGGUCACUGGGCCGCAACUGACGCUGAGGAGCGAAAGCAUGGGGAGCGAACAGGAUUAGAUACCCUGGUAGUCCAUGCCGUAAACGUUGGGCACUA